This is a non-coding RNA of Aminobacter sp., 120 nucleotides long. The record is from Rfam. NCBI's taxonomy places the organism in Bacteria, Pseudomonadati, Pseudomonadota, Alphaproteobacteria, Hyphomicrobiales, Phyllobacteriaceae.
GAAUUCUGCCUGCGCCGACCUCCUCCCCGGCAAAGGCGAAUAGGUCAGCUUCCUCCUCCCAGAAGGCUGACCACCAAAAACGACACCUGCCGGAUCCUCCUCCCCCGGCAGGUGUUGUUA